Molecule: long non-coding RNA, 2221 nt
Filed under: Gossypium barbadense (sea-island cotton)
Lineage: Eukaryota; Viridiplantae; Streptophyta; Magnoliopsida; Malvales; Malvaceae
Description: long non-coding RNA (GBAR_LNC018869)
Source: RNAcentral
AUCAUUUUAAGCACUACAAAACUAUCUAAAUUUUUACGUAAUUUUUCAAUCACAAGCAACUAGUCUUUUUAUGCUCCGUAAUACAACAUAUCAAAAUCUAUCUCGCUCUUGGUACAGGUAAGAUCCAAAGCCGCUAAGUUAUCAUUUUUCAGUAUCACCCGCCUCGCAUUCAUAUUCUUUAUUAGUAGAUACCCCAUAAUUCAGCCUAAUAGUAUUACAGAUCCUUAUAUUUCGUGCAAAACUAGAUUGUCAGACGUCAUUCUCAUCUCGGAUAGAGCCUUCAGCUGCUUCACAACCUCUCUUAAGCUGUCGUGCACCAUCUGUGUUCACUUUAGUCCAUCCUGAUUUAGGACGCUACCAACAAAUUUGCUGCCAUGUCAUCUCCUUUUCUCUGUUAUCCGACUCAUCUGUAUUAUGAACUUGGCUUUUAACCAAUAAAAUAGUUCCUUUUGUCUAUAUAGUCCUUCGCACAAGGCUACAGCCAAAAAUUUUGGUAGCUCCAAAUCCAAAGGCAAGGUUUAUUUGUUAUUGGAAUAUAUGGCAAAGGUGCUGCCAUCAUUGUGUUUGGCAUCAUAAUCAUAGCAUCACCACUGUUAUUUUGGUGGUGAAAAAUGCUUUUGAAAAUGGUAGUGAAAAAAGAAAUUUUAAAAAUUGUUUUAAAAAAUUUGGAUAGUGUUUAUUUUUAUUGUUAAAAAGUGGUUUUUGGAAGACGUGAUAUUAUAAAGUAGAAUAUUUAGGGUGGGUUUGGAUGUUUAUUUGUGGUUAGUGUAAUAAUAGUGAUGGCGGUGGGAUUAGAUACUGUAACGAUACGUAGUGUGAAACAAAAAGUAAGCUAAACGCACCAAACCGCACCUCAGCAUUCAUCCAAAUCCACCCUUAAUGAGAGAUAAAAAAGAUAAUUUCAUUAAAAAGUACAUUUUAAUUUGAAUUAAAAUUUUUAUUCAAAAUCAGGAUUUAAUUUUAAAAAAUUGUUUAUUUAUUAUUAUUUUAUUUGAAAUUAAGGUUUGAGUUUGAAAAAUACUUUCCAUAAACAAAGCGAUAAAAGAAAAUCUCCAACUUUACAAGUUUAUUUCGUAUUGCUUUUCUGUAUUAAAAUUUUCGGAGCUCAGGUAAGCUCUUUUUAUCCUGCCUUGAUAUAUUGAUUAAAAUAUCCCUUUUUAUAAUUAUUUUUUAUGUUUUUAAUUUUAUAAGAAUUAAUAUAUUAUAAAAUAUUAUUUAAAAAAAUUGAAACGUGAUUAAUAAUAACCUGAUCAUGAGUUGGACUACUCGCUUGAAAAAUGGGAAGGUUUAGGACUUUGAGCAAAAAUAUAGACCCGAAAAAUAGAAUUAGAUAAAAAAAUAUAUGACAUGUUUUCUAAAUGAAUCAAGCCUCGAGCAACAUUUUUUUGGCCUGAACCCAACCCGAAUUUGACAAAAAAAAUAUGUUGCAAUUUGUUGUUGUUUUGUUACGGUUAUGUUGUUGUUUUGCUACCAUUUCACUAUUAUAUUAUUACUAUUUUGUUGUUAUUAUUUGGAUAUUGUAUAAUUUUUGUUUUAUUGUUAAUUUUGCUACUAUUUUAAAGGUAAUUUACUUGUUAAGUUGCAACUAUGUUAGUGUUAUUUAAGUAUAGAGACUUUUUUAUAUGAAUUUUUAAUUUUUUUUAAAAAAUAUUUAUUUUAAUGUUUUUAAUCUAUUUGAUGUAUUAUAUUUUAAAUUUAUUUUUAUCUAAAAAAAUUAAUAUGAGUAGGUCAGGUCGAGACUAGACAAAAUUUUAGAUUCAUUUUUCGGGUCAGAUCCGAAUCUAGAAAAUGGGCCAAAAUUUUUUACAUUGACCCGAUCCAAACUCAUCCCGGGCUAAUUUUGAUAUCCAAUUUUCAUCCAUAAUUUACGUAAACAUAAAAUGAUUGUGAUUCAUGCUUGUUCUACUUGCUUCUACAUUAUAAUGAAUGAGUAAUGAAGGAACUAAAAGUAGAUUUUGGGAAAAUGCAGAAUUUUUUUUUUAGGAAAGGGGAAUCCGAAUACUCACUUUUAGAAGAUGAUGAUGCACCCACUGCUGAUGCUGGAAUUGUUGUAAAUUACCACAUUAAUGCCUUCAUAUUAUUCAUUCACUCCUUUUGACUAUGCCUUCAAUUAAAAUUUAAUUUUUAAAGAAUCAUUUUAUUGUGAGAAUUGAGAGGCUUGGCAAUGAAGAUAGAUUGGAUAUGGAAGGAAUUAGGUUCCUUUUUUUAAUGAAAAUCUCAC